Molecule: long non-coding RNA, 665 nt
Filed under: Helianthus annuus (common sunflower)
Lineage: Eukaryota; Viridiplantae; Streptophyta; Magnoliopsida; Asterales; Asteraceae
Description: hypothetical non coding rna
Source: RNAcentral
UGUAAGGUUCGAUCAGCAACUUCGAUUAGCCACCAUUUCUUCUCUAUUACGAUUGAAUUGUUUUUUCGGAAUGCCAUUAUGGUCGUAGGAAACGCGAUCCCAAGCGAAACCGGAUCGUUUUCGUACCGCGAAUUGGAUCGGACGAACCAAAACGUCCCCGAUACUCUGUUUUGGAAGUCCCCAAUAUCGGGUACGGUUUUGUAGAAGUCCCCAAUAUCCGGGUACGUUUGGGAAACGUCCCCGAGCCGUCCCCUACGCGUUUCCGUCCCCGAGCCGUCCCCGGGACGGGUACUUGAUGUAAGAUGCCGUCCCCGUGCUUCAUAGGUUCCACUUUAUUCGUGAAUAUAUUGAAAGAGAUCAAGUUAAAGUAGAGCAUGUUUCGGGAGAUCAACAAAAGGCAGAUAUAUUAACUAAAGCUCUUGCAAGGAUAAAGUUUAAAGAGAUGCAAGACAUGCUUGGAGUUGAAGACCUCCUGGUUGCGAGUCGGCAAUUAGGGAGGUGAAUGUUGAUGGCAAAAUUACCAACUCAUCACAAGUCGGUGGUAAUUAAAGAUAUCAAUUAGAAUUGGAUUAUUAUGCUUGGAAAAGAAGAUUUCUAGUCCUAUAAAUGUAAUUAGUUUUUGAGGAAGUUUUCUAAUAAUAAAAAUGUGAGCGUAUCAUAGUUUU